GAGUGUGGACAGUGAUCCAAGCAACAAAGGACACGCUGAGGAAAGCAGCUGUACCCCUCCUGGUGUCCAGACCCCAGACAGCUUCUUCAGAGGCAGCCACUGUCCCUGCUGACCUGCUGACCUCCCAGAGAUGCUUUCGUGCAUCUCUAAGCACCUGCGUCCAUAGAAGCUUAAUCCAGAUGUGCAUGUUGUUCAUAGUAUUCUUCACCCUGAUCUUGCAGCUGUUCAUUUGCUUUGCUUUUUAGCUGAAUGCAUAUUAGAGCUCCAGCUUCGUCAGCCAGACAAGCUUCCCAGGAACUGGGAGGUUAUGUCUGGCCAGCAAGGAAAGAUGUUGCAUCAGGGGCAGCUGGGAGGCAGUAGGUCACCCCAAGGCCAAGCGUCCCUUUGCUCAGCUGUCAAUUAUGCAUCUAAUUUUAGCAAAGGCCUUCUAGGAGGCUGGAUGGCCUCCAAGCACUGAAUGUGCGUUCUCUCCUGAUGCUCACAGGUCUUGCAAGGCAGGCACCGUUACCGUGCCCAUUUUACAAAUGAGUAAACAGGUGCAAAGAGUGCAAGAGUCUUGUCUGAGGCCCAGCAGCUUGUUCCUGGAAGGGCUGGGAGUUGAACCAUGGGCAUCCUGACUCUGAAAGCCUCCUGCUCUAAUGGUUCAGGGCAGUGCAAGUCGCAGUAAUGGAAGAACAGGACCUGAGCCUCAUGGAGCAUUCAGGGAUCCCCAGCACAAGGUGGAAGAGAAGCAAAUUCCUGCAGCAGGAACAUCGUGUGCAAGGCACCUGGGUGUAGUGAGUCAUUUGUUAACUCUGCAACCCAAGAGGCUUGUGAGGUGGUAGAGGAGAUGCAGUGGUGAACAGAGACAGGAGCGCAGUUACAAAGAGCUUUGAACGGCAACCUAGAAAGUGGAAUUUCUGGAGGCAACAGGAAGAUGGUGAAGGUGUUAAGCAGGAAGAGAGGAUCGAAAAGAUCUCAGGCCAGAAGUGAGCCCUGUUGUCCAUUCUCUGGGUGAUGUGGGAGAAGAACAUAGGCGGGGUGAGCCAGGGCUCCUGGAGACAGGGCACUCUGAUGGUUCCAGUCAGGCCCCCGCCCAGAGCAAGGAGGCAUGAAUUUAUUAAAUCGAGCUCAGGCUCUCGCACUAUCUUACUCUAUUCAGAUGCUCCGGAAUUCCUCUCCGAGCAGGCAUUCCCCAUCAUACCCAGAAGAACGCACAUGUUUCCUGGGCUCCCCUGGCCUUUGCCAACCCCAGUACCUUUUCAGACUGGCCCUGAAGCCCAUCUUCCAACCAGAGUUUGAGGGACUCUGAGUGGCCCAGCUGCCUCUCUCCCUAGGUCUGGAUUCCACAAAGAACCACCCAGAAAUUGGUAGUGUUCUCCUCUUAGAAAACAAGCUUCAAUUCUUUCUUUGGCUGAGUUUCUCACCGUGACUGCUUUUCAUUAGCUUUUCAAGGGGAAAACAAAUUUUCCCCAGUGGAAAGUGGCCACUCACUGCAGAGGCAUUGUCCAUUUAAUAUGUUUGUAUGCGGAAGGCCCCAAGCCUGGGUCUGUAAGGCUCCGGCCGGGACCCUUGGGCAGUAGGUUCAGUUUAGGAAGCUUCCUGGCAGACACUGUCUAAAGAGACAGGCCUCCUGUGAAACCUUCAGGGUUGGGGAAACCUGGGGACCUUCAGCCAUCUGCUGUCCAUUGCUACCCCCACGUCUACCCAGCUUUUUCUUCCAGUCCAAGUCCUAGUUUACCUAGUGGAGAAGCCUCUCAAAGCCUCUCUUCUUCCUAACCUCUCUUCCCCUGGUGCUUUAAAAAAAAAAAAGUGGGGGUGAGUACUAAAGACAGAAAGGAAUCCAGCUGGUUAAACUCCAAUCCAUGUCACUCUGUGGAAUCAAAGAGGCCUUUACCUGGGCACAAUCCUCCUUCAAGGGCCCAAUUCUACAAGGACUGAGACCAAGAUGGAGGAUCUGUACUCCCACAGUAUUGAUCAGAAGGUUCAGAUACCUGUAAGAGGAAGAAGAAAAGCAAGAAGUAGAAAGGCAGGAAGUGGAGACCGAGAAGGAAAAUGGAAGAUAAACAAGAAGUGGAAAUUGUCCAAUGGGGGCCAAUAUGGCUGAACACUCCUUUGCCAAGUGGGUCUCCCUUGAGAAGAGAUGAGGAGAAUUUAGGCUAUGGAAGACCAGUCUCCAUCUUAGAAACCCCACCCUCAACAUUGGCUUUUCUUCCUUUUUUUUUUCUUCUUUUGUUUAUUUGUUAUUCAGAAGGUUGUAUGGAUAAGGAUGGGUGAGAUAAAUCACUUCCAGUUACUGGCUUGAGCUAAGCCCUCCCUCCCACGCACCCCACGCAUACACUAAUACCCUCUUGCACAGAAGAUACUUCCUGCUGUGACACACAGAAAAGUACCAGCCAUCCACAGAGCCCAGAACAUUUCUCCCACAAUACAAUGGCAGCUCCUCCUCAGAGUGAGUCGGGAU
RNAcentral lists this long non-coding RNA (2443 nucleotides) under Marmota monax (woodchuck). The record is from RNAcentral. Lineage: Eukaryota; Metazoa; Chordata; Mammalia; Rodentia; Sciuridae.